This 323-nucleotide long non-coding RNA is filed under the name Monodelphis domestica (gray short-tailed opossum). Its description in RNAcentral is "lncRNA (ENSMODG00000040919.1)". The record is from RNAcentral. Lineage: Eukaryota; Metazoa; Chordata; Mammalia; Didelphimorphia; Didelphidae.
GCUAUAGAUACUUUAGAACUUACAGGUUCUCUUCCUACAGAAAUGGGAGAGACCAGGAUAAGAACCAGAGGAAAUAGAGUAUUCUAGUUUGUUGGACCAAAGCAUAAAAGAAGGGCGAAAGUUUAGAUAUUCCUAACAAUAUGAAGGAAAUUAAUUCUGAAGACCUCUAACAGUCCUGGAAGUCUUGGAUUUGAUCUGUUUAUGUAUGCAAGUGUGAAAAGGAUUAAGGGAAGGAGAAGGAAGAAGGAAUGAAGAGUGGAUAAGAUAGAAGGAAAAAGGAGACGCAUGAAGGAAAUUGGAGAAAAACUCAAGAAAACAACUUU